GAUGAACGCUGGCGGCGUGCUUAACACAUGCAAGUCAAGGGGGCCCAGCAAUGGGUAACCGGCGAACGGGUGCGUAACACGUGAGCAACCUACCGAAAUGUGGGGGAUAGCCGGCCCAACGGCCGGGUAAUACCGCAUACGCUCGAGACCAGGCAUUUGGACUCGAGGAAAUUUACGGAGCAUUUCGAGGGGCUCGCGGCCUAUCAGCUAGUUGGUGAGGUAACGGCUCACCAAGGCGACGACGGGUAGCUGGUCUGAGAGGAUGGCCAGCCACAUUGGGACUGAGAUACGGCCCAGACUCCUACGGGAGGCAGCAGUGGGGAAUCUUGCGCAAUGGCCUAACGGCUGACGCAGCGACGCCGCGUGAGGGAUGACGCUCUUCGGAGUGUAAACCUCUUUUGCCCGGGACGAAUUGCCAGUUUUCACUGGCUUGACGGUACCG
RNAcentral lists this ribosomal RNA (442 nucleotides) under uncultured bacterium. Its description in RNAcentral is "bacterial SSU rRNA". It matches the Rfam family "Bacterial small subunit ribosomal RNA", at positions 28 to 480 of the family's 1533-position model. The record is from RNAcentral.